CUGAUUGGUUGUCAGCUAAAGUGUAUGUUAGUAUAAUACGAAUGUGCCACGUCAAACGUUCAAAACUAACAUAGCUCUUCGUCUAGUAAACGUUAGUAUACAGAUCUACUGAACAAGGUUCCUCAAAAACAUGGGCUCGAAAGUUUUGCUCGUUUGCCUCUUAUGUGUGACCCUAGGGCUGAGUUUGUGUUCGAGUGCGCCAACAGCUUAUGCCAUUGAACAAUUCCGCUCUAUUUUGAUGGAACUCAUUCAAAGCGGGAUCAAACCUGCAACGACAACUAGAGAAUUAUUGGUACGAAUGGUAGAAUGCGACGUGGGGAAUUGUAGGGAUUGGAAAUAAAAAUUUGGACCUUAAUUAGUAAUCUAUUUGAUUAGCAAAAUGUUACCACUGCUAAAACACAGAUAUUAAACUGAUAAGACUACAUUUGAACAAAAUUAGUUUUAAAAUUAGAUUUCUUGUUUAUGACACGGUAAGCAAAAUUAAAAUAAAUAUCUCUGCUUUGGA
Long non-coding RNA from Physella acuta, 505 nucleotides. RefSeq lists it as uncharacterized. The record is from RefSeq and is a predicted model, not a curated record. NCBI's taxonomy places the organism in Eukaryota, Metazoa, Mollusca, Gastropoda, Physidae.